CCAGUAGUGAAAGCCCUGGCGGACUCUUUCUGAGCGCUUUUGUAGCGGCUGGCUGGCUGAUUCACACUCAGCCCGGCUCCUAUCUACAAUGCAAGGUCACUAAAGAAAGCAGGGAAGGGAACAUAACCGGCUACUUCUUGGUUACUGAUUUGUAAUGGACAUUGUGUUAGAUAAUGUCAGCUUCAUCUUGGCAGUUCCAGGGCAAUGGAGGUUAAGUGACUUGCCCAGGGUCACACAGCUAGGCAAUGGGGGUUAAGUGAC
Long non-coding RNA from Dromiciops gliroides (monito del monte), 261 nucleotides. RefSeq lists it as uncharacterized. The transcript has 3 exons. The record is from RefSeq and is a predicted model, not a curated record. NCBI's taxonomy places the organism in Eukaryota, Metazoa, Chordata, Mammalia, Microbiotheria, Microbiotheriidae.